RNAcentral lists this ribosomal RNA (505 nucleotides) under uncultured bacterium. RNAcentral describes it as "partial 16S ribosomal RNA". It matches the Rfam family "Bacterial small subunit ribosomal RNA", at positions 28 to 507 of the family's 1533-position model. The record is from RNAcentral.
GACGAACGCUGGCGGCGUGCCUAAUACAUGCAAGUAGAACGCACAGUUUAUACCGUAGCUUGCUACACCAUAGACUGUGAGUUGCGAACGGGUGAGUAACGCGUAGGUAACCUGCCUGGUAGCGGGGGAUAACUAUUGGAAACGAUAGCUAAUACCGCAUAAUAUUGAUUAUUGCAUGGUAAUUGAUUGAAAGAUGCUAUUGCAUCACUACCAGAUGGACCUGCGUUGUAUUAGCUAGUAGGUGAGGUAACGGCUCACCUAGGCGACGAUACAUAGCCGACCUGAGAGGGCGAUCGGCCACCCUGGGACUGAGACACGGCCCAGACUCCUACGGGAGGCAGCAGUAGGGAAUCUUCGGCAAUGGGCGAAAGUCUGACCGAGCAACGCCGCGUGAGUGAAGAAGGUUGUCGGAUCGUAAAGCUCUGUUGUAAGAGAAGAACGGGUGUGAGAGUGGAAAGUUCACACUGUGACGGUAUCCUACCAGAAAGGGACGGCUAACUACGUG